CUGCUGCCUCCCGUAGGAGUCUGGUCCGUGUCUCAGUACCAGUGUGGGGGACCUUCCUCUCAGAACCCCUACGCAUCGUCGUCUUGGUGGUCCGUUACACCGCCAACUAACUAAUGCGACGCAUGCCCAUCCGCCACCGGAAUCAACCUUUGGCACCAACAGGAUGUCCCGUCGAUGCAUUAUGCCGUAUUAGACGGAAUUUCUCCCGAUUAUCCGGCUGUGGCAGGCAGGUUGCAUACGUGUUACUCCACCGU
RNAcentral lists this ribosomal RNA (254 nucleotides) under uncultured bacterium. RNAcentral's name for it is "partial 16S ribosomal RNA". The record is from RNAcentral.